This 557-nucleotide ribosomal RNA is filed under the name uncultured Hyphozyma. RNAcentral's name for it is "SSU rRNA". It matches the Rfam family "Eukaryotic small subunit ribosomal RNA", at positions 4 to 564 of the family's 1831-position model. The record is from RNAcentral. Lineage: Eukaryota; Fungi; Ascomycota.
CUGGUUGAUCCUGCCAGUAGUCAUAUGCUUGUCUCAAAGAUUAAGCCAUGCAUGUCUAAGUAUAAGCAAUCUAUACAGUGAAACUGCGAAUGGCUCAUUAAAUCAGUUAUCGUUUAUUUGAUAGUACCUUACUACUUGGAUAACCGUGGUAAUUCUAGAGCUAAUACAUGCUAAAAACCUCGACUUCGGAAGGGGUGUAUUUAUUAGAUAAAAAACCAAUGCCCUUCGGGGCUCCUUGGUGAUUCAUGAUAACUUAACGAAUCGCAUGGCCUUGUGCCGGCGAUGGUUCAUUCAAAUUUCUGCCCUAUCAACUUUCGAUGGUAGGAUAGUGGCCUACCAUGGUUUCAACGGGUAACGGGGAAUUAGGGUUCUAUUCCGGAGAGGGAGCCUGAGAAACGGCUACCACAUCCAAGGAAGGCAGCAGGCGCGCAAAUUACCCAAUCCCGACACGGGGAGGUAGUGACAAUAAAUACUGAUACAGGGCUCUUUUGGGUCUUGUAAUUGGAAUGAGUACAAUUUACAUCCCUUAACGAGGAACAAUUGGAGGGCAAGUCUGG